This 257-nucleotide ribosomal RNA is filed under the name uncultured bacterium. RNAcentral describes it as "partial 16S ribosomal RNA". It matches the Rfam family "Bacterial small subunit ribosomal RNA", at positions 524 to 776 of the family's 1533-position model. The record is from RNAcentral.
UACGAGGGGGGGCGAGCGUUUGUUCGGAAUUAUUGGGCGUAAAGGGUGCGUAGGCGGUUCCGCAAGUCCUGUGUGAAAUCUUCGGGCUCAACUCGAAGUCUGCACGGGAAACUGCGGGGCUUGAGUGUGGGAGAGGUGAGUGGAAUUCCCGGUGUAGCGGUGAAAUGCGUAGAUAUCGGGGAGGAACACCUGUGGCGAAAGCGGCUCACUGGACCAUAACUGACGCUGAUGCACGAAAGCUGGGGGGAGCAAACAGG